This 427-nucleotide ribosomal RNA is filed under the name uncultured bacterium. Its description in RNAcentral is "partial 16S ribosomal RNA". It matches the Rfam family "Bacterial small subunit ribosomal RNA", at positions 355 to 774 of the family's 1533-position model. The record is from RNAcentral.
UGGGGAAUAUUGCACAAUGGGCGCAAGCCUGAUGCAGCCAUGCCGCGUGUAUGAAGAAGGCCUUCGGGUUGUAAAGUACUUUCAGCGGGGAGGAAGGUGUUGAGGUUAAUAACCUCAGCAAUUGACGUUACCCGCAGAAGAAGCACCGGCUAACUCCGUGCCAGCAGCCGCGGUAAUACGGAGGGUGCAAGCGUUAAUCGGAAUUACUGGGCGUAAAGCGCACGCAGGCGGUCUGUCAAGUCGGAUGUGAAAUCCCCGGGCUCAACCUGGGAACUGCAUUCGAAACUGGCAGGCUAGAGUCUUGUAGAGGGGGGUAGAAUUCCAGGUGUAGCGGUGAAAUGCGUAGAGAUCUGGAGGAAUACCGGUGGCGAAGGCGGCCCCCUGGACAAAGGCUGACGCUCAGGUGCGAAAGCGUGGGGAGCAAACA